RNAcentral lists this ribosomal RNA (397 nucleotides) under uncultured bacterium. RNAcentral's name for it is "partial 16S ribosomal RNA". It matches the Rfam family "Bacterial small subunit ribosomal RNA", at positions 523 to 918 of the family's 1533-position model. The record is from RNAcentral.
AUACGUAGGUGACAAGCGUUAUCCGGAUUUACUGGGCGUAAAGGGCGUGUAGGCGGUCUUGCAAGUCAGAAGUGAAAUUCCUGAGCUCAACUCGGGCGCUGCUUCUGAAACUGCAGGACUUGAGUGCUGGAGGGGAUAGCGGAAUUCCUAGUGGAGCGGUAAAAUGCGCAGAUAUUAGGAAGAACACCGGUGGCGAAGGCGGCUAUCUGGACAGUAACUGACGCUGAGGCGGGAAAGCGUGGGGAGCAAACAGGAUUAGAUUCCCUGGGAGUCCACGCCGUAAACGAUGAAUACUAGGUGUAGGGGGUAUCGACUCCCUCUGUGCCGCAGUUAACACAAUAAGUAUUCCGCCUGGGGAGUACGGCCGCAAGGUUGAAACUUAAAGGAAUUGACGGGG